CCUGAUCAGCAUGCCGCGUGUGGGAUGAAGGCCCUCGGGUUGUAAACCACUUUUGGCAGGAAAGAAAUCGCCUGUGCUAAUACCAUGGGCGGAUGACGGUACCUGCAGAAUAAGCACCGGCUAACUACGUGCCAGCAGCCGCGGUAAUACGUAGGGUGCGAGCGUUAAUCGGAAUUACUGGGCGUAAAGCGUGCGCAGGCGGUUUUGUAAGACAGAUGUGAAAUCCCCGGGCUUAACCUGGGAACUGCAUUUGUGACUGCAAGACUAGAGUGUGUCAGAGGGAGGUGGAAUUCCGCGUGUAGCAGUGAAAUGCGUAAAGAUGCGGAAGAACACCGAUGGCGAAGGCAGCCUCCUGGGAUAACACUGACGCUCAGGCACGAAAGCGUGGGGAGCAAACAGGAUUAGAUACCCUGGUAGUCCACGCCCUAAACGAUGUCAACUAGUUGUUGGGGAUUCAUUUCCUUAGUAACGUAGCUAACGCGUGAAGUUGACCGCCUGGGGAGUACGGCCGCAAGGUUAAAACUCAAAGG
Molecule: ribosomal RNA, 530 nt
Filed under: uncultured Burkholderiales bacterium
Lineage: Bacteria; Pseudomonadati; Pseudomonadota; Betaproteobacteria; Burkholderiales
Description: bacterial SSU rRNA
Rfam family: Bacterial small subunit ribosomal RNA
Source: RNAcentral